UGCCAGCCGCCGCGGUAAUACGUAAGUCGCAAGCGUUAUCCGGAAUUACUGGGCGUAAAGCGCGCGUAGGUGGCUAUUUAAGUCAGAUGUGAAAGUCCACGGCUCAACCGUGGAAGUGCAUUUGAAACUGGAUAGCUUGAGUAUUGGAGGGGGUAGUGGAAUUCCCGGUGUAGAGGUGAAAUUCGUAGAUAUCGGGAGGAAUACCGGUGGCGAAGGCGACUACCUGGCCAAAUACUGACGCUGAGGUGCGAAAGCGUGGGGAGCAAACAGGAUUAGAUA
This 279-nucleotide ribosomal RNA is filed under the name uncultured bacterium. RNAcentral's name for it is "partial 16S ribosomal RNA". It matches the Rfam family "Bacterial small subunit ribosomal RNA", at positions 506 to 784 of the family's 1533-position model. The record is from RNAcentral.